GUCACUGUAGCUCAGUUGGUAGAGCAUGGUGUUUGCAACGCCAGGGUUGUGGGUUCGAUUCCCACGGGGGACC
RNAcentral lists this transfer RNA (73 nucleotides) under Salmo salar (Atlantic salmon). It matches the Rfam family "tRNA". From Rfam's summary of the family: Transfer RNA (tRNA) molecules are approximately 80 nucleotides in length. The record is from Rfam by way of RNAcentral. Lineage: Eukaryota; Metazoa; Chordata; Actinopteri; Salmoniformes; Salmonidae.